AGCAGUAGCCACGGGAAUACGUAGGUGGCAAGUGUUGUCCGGAAUUAUUGGGCGUAAAGGGCUCGCAGGCGGUUUCUUAAGUCUGAUGUGAAAGCCCCCGGCUCAACCGGGGAGGGUCAUUGGAAACUGGGAAACUUGAGUACAGAAGAGGAGAGUGGAAUUCCACGUGUAGCGGUGAAAUGCAUAGAGAUGUGGAGGAACACCAGUGGCGAAGGCGACUCUCUGGUCUGUAACUGACGCUGAGGAGCGAAAGCGUGGGGAGCGAACAGGAUUAGAUACCCCUGUAGUCCCUGUCUCUUAUAU
RNAcentral lists this ribosomal RNA (303 nucleotides) under uncultured bacterium. RNAcentral describes it as "partial 16S ribosomal RNA". It matches the Rfam family "Bacterial small subunit ribosomal RNA", at positions 507 to 809 of the family's 1533-position model. The record is from RNAcentral.